Molecule: long non-coding RNA, 965 nt
Filed under: Equus asinus (donkey)
Lineage: Eukaryota; Metazoa; Chordata; Mammalia; Perissodactyla; Equidae
Description: lncRNA (ENSEASG00005035793.1)
Source: RNAcentral
AAAUGAGGAUGAUUAGGAUAGGAGUAGAUUUUGUAGGAUAAUCAGGAGUUUGGUUUUGGGCAUGUUAGUUUGAGAUGCUUAUUAGAGAGUCAAGUAUAGAUACAGAGUAGGCAGUUGGAUAUACUAGUCUGAUGUUUCCAGGAGAUGCUCAGGCUAGACAUAUGUAAAUUUGGAAAUCAUCAGGGUAAAGAUGUUUUUGAAGCCUUGGGAGGGAUUAGAUCAUCAAAGUAGUGAGUGCGACAAGAGAAGAAAAGUCCACCAAUAGAGUCCAGGGGAACUGCAAUGUUCCAAGAAAUCAGAAAAGGAAAAUCCAGUGAGAUAGGAAGAAAACUUGGGCAUUGUGGAGUUGUGGGACCAAGUGAAGAAAAGUGCUCAAGGGUGUGGAGUGAUGGGCAUUUCUGAAGGCAGCUACGACAGGAACUCCAGACAGGAGUAAGUGAAAGCCUUCCCACGAGAAGCAGAAAUGAGUUUUGCCAUCUUCAAGGGCCUUGGAGUCUUCCAUGGGAUCUUCUGCCUCCAUCCAGGAGACAACAGAAGGAGAGUGGAAGACUGUGGAUUACUUUCAUUCACAUUCUACUGACCAGAAUCCAGUUUCACGGUCCCACUUUACAUAAGGGAUUGGGAAAUAUACUUUACUCUGCGACCACGAAGAUGAGGAAAAAUAUGGAUAAUGAAAAGGGAACGGAAGCUCAGGCAAGUGACAACCCAGGACCAGAGAUGGAGCCUCUCCCACCCUGUCUACCCUUCUUUAGGAAAAUCAGCCACAUUUGUUUCCACUUAACGCAUCAGAUUACAGAAUUCCCUCAUAUUCUACAUCCUACAUGCUUCCCUCCAAUCUUUCCAGCCCUGCUUCCUACGCUUCCUGGUCCCUGCACAACUGCACAUACUCCUCUAGCCCUAACUGCAGAAAUAUAAAAGCAAAAUGCAUUGAAAGUAUCAUUUAGGAAGUUCUGCCCACUCUGAAC